Varanus komodoensis (Komodo dragon) is the source of this 2236-nucleotide long non-coding RNA. RefSeq lists it as uncharacterized. The transcript is spliced from 2 exons. Lineage: Eukaryota; Metazoa; Chordata; Lepidosauria; Squamata; Varanidae. The record is from RefSeq and is a predicted model, not a curated record.
UUGACAUCCAUGUACAAUAAAAACUAUUUUCAAAUUGAAAGUAUGCUGCCAUCCAGGGGUAGGGAAUCUGUGAACCUUGCAGAUGUUGUUGCAUUACAACUUCUAUCCUUCCUAACUAUUGUUAGUGCUGACUAGGAUUGAUUGGAACUGAAAUCCAACAAAGUCUGGUGCCCUAAAGUUUUCCUUCCCUCUUUAAAUCAGUGUAGCUCAUUUCAAAUAGUAUUUGUGGGUACACUUGGGAAGACUCUUCACAAAGUGUGCUCCAAACAUGGCAACAUUCAAUCAAGAGGGCACUUCUGAAUGGAAAUUAAAUAUAAUGUUCAAUUUCCAGCAUGUGUCCAAGAUAAAAAGCUCACAUUCACAUUUCACAUACAUGCAUAUAUGGAAAAUUAUUUAUUAAACUGAUAUUCUGCACUUAGUGCCAUAGAACCUUAAAAUGUUUUCCUUUGCAAGAAUUUUCUAAUGUGUGAAGCAGUCAGAAGAUCAUGCACAGAACAGCAUGCAUAAAUACAUGCUAAAUUGUCAGAAUCACUGAGAUGCUAUAAAGAAUGACACAUGGAGAACCCAUGGAGGGAAGGCUGUGGUCCCAUCCCCAGACACCUGGGAGCAUAACAGACAGAAGAAGAAAACAUACAACAAGACAAUUUAAGUGCUUCGGAGGAAAUGAAGCAAAACAGUUCAUUUCAGAGAGAUUUGGUAGGUAAGAUAUCCUAAAAGUGAAUGUACAAUUCUGUGCACAAUAAGUACAACAUGUACCCAUCUUCCUCAGCAAAUGUACAAAUAUAUACACACUGCAAAGACACCUGAAAAUGUCUUGGACUUUGACACCAAGCACAUAAUGCCAAUUUGUUACUAAUUUACCAGUUGACUUAGGCACAGCAUUUUGUAAUGUUUAAUCAAGUGGUGAUUCUAUCCUUAAGUGUAAAAAUUAUCCAUCAGCCCUUUGACAACAUAUGGAAUUUUAGUGGAAGGGGGAGCAACAAAACAAUACCAAGUUUUCGACCUCAUGCUAAGCAGCAAAAAAUGAUGAUGGGGAGGCAGAAAUAUUAGUAACCUGGAAUACCUCCCUAGCCUUUACUAUAAUUUAAGCAUGAUCAGGUCCCUACUUGGUCAAUGGAUUGCAGUUCUAUUGGCCAGAUUUAUUAAUUAUCAUUUAAGGAACAAUUUACAAAGGAUCAGAAGCCUAUAGACAUAUGCCAUGAGCCCUCUGCUUCAGUAUGUCCACAAGCAUGCUGUAUGUGGAUACUGUAAUUUCCUUUGUCCCCAAGCUGCUUAACACGCACUCUGCCACCGUGGUGGUGUGUCAAAGGAGUUUCUCUCCCUUCUUCUGUCUAGCUGCAUUCGUGGUCCCUGUGGAGCACUGGCUUCCUUUCUUUCAAGCCAUCUCUAAAGUUCUUGAUGGUCAGACCCACAUGAUUGGCACUGAACUGCUGGGAUUCCGAAUCAACGCUACAUGGACUUGCUCACAGUCAAGCACCAUGAUGAGAAAUUCAUAUCAAACUUCUACGUGUGUGUGAAAUAAGAACAACUAUGCCAAUGAGCUGGCAGAUGCAUGCUCCUUACCAUUUGACUUUGCUGGAAUACUAGAAAUGCAGGAUCAGGCUUUAAUCUUUCCUGUACCCACUGGCAAUUUCUUGAAUGCCUCUCUGCCCUAUCCUUCCACUUUCCCUCCAGGUGGAAAUAUUUCUGGUCUCAGAGUUUGGGUAGGAAAAAACCAGUUGAAAACAGCUCAGAGAAGGGAAGGUAUUUUCUGUUAAGAAUUGGCAGGUAUAGGAAGAAUUUAGAUGUUUCCUAUAUGUUCCUGCCAGUAAGCUGACAUCAACAUCUGAGACUCUGCUCUGAAUGCCCCUGUGGGCUGAGAUUAGGUUUCCCAUGGCCCCCAGACUGUGGAAUACCUUUCUUAGAGAUGUCCACCUGGCACCUGCUUUGUUGACUGUUGAGAACCAUGCAAAGAUAUUUUUAUUUACCUGUGUCUUUAAAAAGAAUUUUUACUCCUGUUUAUUUUGUUUUUAAUACAGUCAGUGCUGCCUUUGACAUAAUAUUUUAUCUAUUUAACAGCUCUUUUAAUAUCAUUUUAAAACUAUUGUUGCAGCUUUGAGAAACAUCUACCACAUUCCUUUAAUGUGUUGUAUUGUUGACUUUUUGUCUUGUUUUUAUUAUGCAUCUAUCUCUGAGAGCUUCAGCCAUAGGGCAACUCAUAUAUUGAAUGAACAAAUCAAUAAAUUAAUGAAUAGGC